GCCGCCGUAGCUCAGGGGUAGAGCACACCCUUGGUAAGGGUGGGGCCGGAGGUUCGAUUCCUCCCGGCGGCACCA
RNAcentral lists this transfer RNA (75 nucleotides) under Alphaproteobacteria bacterium. RNAcentral's name for it is "tRNA-Thr". It matches the Rfam family "tRNA". Rfam says of the family: Transfer RNA (tRNA) molecules are approximately 80 nucleotides in length. Lineage: Bacteria; Pseudomonadati; Pseudomonadota; Alphaproteobacteria. The record is from RNAcentral. RNAcentral also lists the same sequence under 2 other names.